RNAcentral lists this transfer RNA (85 nucleotides) under Gracilaria chouae. RNAcentral's name for it is "tRNA-Tyr". Lineage: Eukaryota; Rhodophyta; Florideophyceae; Gracilariales; Gracilariaceae. The record is from RNAcentral.
UGAAGAGGGUAGGAUUCGAACCUACGAUUAUAUAUAUAUAAAUAGAUUUACAAUCUAUCGCCUUCAGCCGCUCGGCCACCUCUUC